UCGAAACAGAGGUGGGUAUGUCUGUCGGAGAGAAGAGUGCCAGCACUGAGAGCUGAGAGCAGUGUCCAUCUCUGUUAGAGAAAAAAAGAAAUUGUGUUGAUAUUCAUCAAGAAAACAUCAAGAACAAGGCAACACAGCUGCACAAAUUAACUGCAAAGAAGAAUCAAUGUUCCAUUCUUGAAACCAAGCAAGACUGUCAUCUAUAAAUACUACACCUUUGGAAUCUUGUGGUUAUAUUGACUGGUUGCAUUCACAGACGACUUGUGUCUACCUGUAUGUUGUAGUUGUGGUGGUGAUGGUGAAGGUGGUAGCAUUAGUACCAGGUCCUGAACACAAGGUCUUCUGUAUAUUAGCUAUAUGAAGAAUAAUAAGAUAAUUUCAUCAAGUGAAGAUAAUAGUCAUGAAGAAAAUCAGAAUAAAAUAGGGGAAACACAGAAAAAAUAAUAUCACAUGAGAGUCAGAAGAAAGAUAUGAACGGGAGUCUAAGAACAUGGAAAAUAUCCUACUCUCUCAGAAAUAGGAAAUUUCCAAGUUUGAGGAAAGAAAAGAAAGGAGCAAAGAAGUUGACACAAAUGUUAUCAGCAAAUUCAGAUCCCCAGGAACUCUUCUUCAUGGCAUACAAUUGCUCUUCUUGGCCUUGAAAUGACACUUCAUAUGUUCAUUUCCUUUCAGCCAACAGGAAAUACAUUUCUUCCAUUAUGCUUGAAGACCUGCAGUAGAGUUUAAUGUAAGGAGAUCUUACACAACAAAGCAUCAUCAUAGAACAUGUUGUCUACUUCACAACUAGCAUAUAAUGUGAGUUACUUGAAUGGAAGUGAGUCACAAACACGUUUGAACCAUUGUCACAGCUGAGACAGGAAUCUACAAGUGAAAGAUAUAAUACAGUGUGCCUUCAAUACCAUGUUACUGGUUCCAAAU
Molecule: long non-coding RNA, 918 nt
Organism: Mesocricetus auratus (golden hamster)
Lineage: Eukaryota; Metazoa; Chordata; Mammalia; Rodentia; Cricetidae
Exons: 7
Source: RefSeq, a predicted model, not a curated record